UACGUAGGGUGCGAGCGUUGUCCGGAAUUAUUGGGCGUAAAGAGCUUGUAGGCGGUUUGUCGCGUCUGCUGUGAAAAUCCGGGGCUCAACCCCGGACUUGCAGUGGGUACGGGCAGACUGGAGUGUGGUAGGGGAGACUGGAAUUCCUGGUGUAGCGGUGGAAUGCGCAGAUAUCAGGAGGAACACCGAUGGCGAAGGCAGGUCUCUGGGCCACUACUGACGCUGAGAAGCGAAAGCAUGGGGAGCAAACGGG
This 253-nucleotide ribosomal RNA is filed under the name uncultured bacterium. RNAcentral describes it as "partial 16S ribosomal RNA". It matches the Rfam family "Bacterial small subunit ribosomal RNA", at positions 524 to 776 of the family's 1533-position model. The record is from RNAcentral.